This 306-nucleotide ribosomal RNA is filed under the name uncultured bacterium. RNAcentral's name for it is "bacterial SSU rRNA". It matches the Rfam family "Bacterial small subunit ribosomal RNA", at positions 30 to 334 of the family's 1533-position model. The record is from RNAcentral.
AUUGAACGCUGGCGGCAGGCCUAACACAUGCAAGUCGAGCGACAGCGGGUCCUUCGGGAUGCCGGCGAGCGGCGGACGGGUGAGUAAUGCCUAGGAAUUUGCCUGGUAGUGGGGGAUAACUCGGGGAACUGGGAUUAAUACCGUAUGAUACUUCUACUAAGCAUUAAGAAGAAGUCAAAGCGUAAAGCGGUGAAAGAUGGUCUCGCGUCCCAUUAGUUAGUUGGUGAGGUAACGGCUCACCAAGACUUCGAUGGGUAGCCGGCCUGAGAGGGUGAACGGCCACACUGGAACUGAGACACGGUCCAG